Long non-coding RNA from Ornithorhynchus anatinus (platypus), 243 nucleotides. RefSeq lists it as uncharacterized. The transcript is spliced from 2 exons. NCBI's taxonomy places the organism in Eukaryota, Metazoa, Chordata, Mammalia, Monotremata, Ornithorhynchidae. The record is from RefSeq and is a predicted model, not a curated record.
UAAGAUAGCUGCUUCUCCUGUUUACAACCACCCAAAUCCUGGAGGGGACAGAGGCUGAGGAGCCCAUCAGAAAACAACAAAUGCGCCAAAGUUUGGACAAACAACAAUGCUGAUGAUAAAAGGCAUUUAAAAGAAAAGUUUCGAUACUGCUAAUCCUGUUUAGACGGGCAGAGAGAACUGCAUUUUGAUGCCUAUGGUGAUUGAUGUUUAUAAUAGAAAUCAAAAUAAAUAAAACACAUUUCA